This 497-nucleotide ribosomal RNA is filed under the name uncultured bacterium. Its description in RNAcentral is "partial 16S ribosomal RNA". It matches the Rfam family "Bacterial small subunit ribosomal RNA", at positions 28 to 507 of the family's 1533-position model. The record is from RNAcentral.
GAUGAACGCUGGCGGCGUGCCUAAUACAUGCAAGUCGAGCGAACAGACGAGGAGCUUGCUCCUCUGACGUUAGCGGCGGACGGGUGAGUAACACGUGGAUAACCUACCUAUAAGACUGGGAUAACUUCGGGAAACCGGAGCUAAUACCGGAUAAUAUAUUGAACCGCAUGGUUCAAUAGUGAAAGACGGUUUUGCUGUCACUUAUAGAUGGAUCCGCGCCGCAUUAGCUAGUUGGUAAGGUAACGGCUUACCAAGGCAACGAUGCGUAGCCGACCUGAGAGGGUGAUCGGCCACACGGGAGCUGAGACACGGUCCAGACUCCUACGGGAGGCAGCAGUAGGGAAUCUUCCGCAAUGGGCGAAAGCCUGACGGAGCAACGCCGCGUUAGUGAUGAAGGUCUUCGGAUCGUAAAACUCUGUUAUUAGGGAAGAACAAAUGUGUAAGUAACUAUGCACGUCUUGACGGUACCUAAUCAGAAAGCCACGGCUAACUACGUG